Molecule: long non-coding RNA, 691 nt
Organism: Bombyx mori (domestic silkworm)
Lineage: Eukaryota; Metazoa; Arthropoda; Insecta; Lepidoptera; Bombycidae
Exons: 3
Source: RefSeq, a predicted model, not a curated record
UGUAGGAGCCUGAAGAAUAAUCCCAGCCGUACCAACCAGUACGGCCAGUGUAAAGAUCCACAGAAACAGUCUGUCAAGAACCAUCGCCACGUACUUCCAAUCUUCUUUCACCUAAAAAUCCAUCCGCAUACAAAGCAACGUGUGAGUGGCGGCAUUUACGUGGUAGAUGUCUAUGGGCUCCGAUAACCACUUAACACCAGGCGUUCGAGUGAGCGGUCGAGGAGGGGGUGCGGCAGGUGGGGGCCAGGCGCCCGGCGCACAGCAGUCGUCGUCCGCUGCCGCCAGACGGUACGGAUACAAGGGUCUGGCUGUCCCACCGCAGCGUACCACAACACCGCAUGCAGUGUAACGAGAUCUAAAAACAAAACUAGUUCAAUUAGUUUAGCCCAUGAUACAAAGUGAUUGGUUAAGUGGUAUUAACGUGUUGUUAUUACAUUGAAACGGUAGACAGCGGCUUGGCUCUGCCCCUGGCAUUGCUAAGGUCCAUGGGCGACGGUAACCACUUACCAUCAGGUGGGCCGUAUACUCGUCUGCCUACACGGGCAAUAAAAAAAACAAAAAAACAAAACAAACUAGAUCUUAUUGUUCACAUAUAUUUAUAGCAAAUAGCGUUAGACAUCCUAAAAAAAGAUUUCAAUUAAAUCUUUAGACAAAUAAUAUUAGUUUGAUAUUAAAGACAAAUUCAGUCUUA